AAACCAUGGUGGGGGCACUGUCUUAAUAAACCUUUGAAUCUGUCACAUGCUUCAAAUAAUGAUUCUCUAUCUGCCUGAGUAAAAUUUGUAAUGCAAUUCCUCAUAU
Molecule: small nucleolar RNA, 106 nt
Organism: Zingiber officinale
Lineage: Eukaryota; Viridiplantae; Streptophyta; Magnoliopsida; Zingiberales; Zingiberaceae
Source: RefSeq, a predicted model, not a curated record